This 426-nucleotide long non-coding RNA is filed under the name Carica papaya (papaya). RNAcentral's name for it is "long non-coding RNA (CPAP_LNC011571)". The record is from RNAcentral. Lineage: Eukaryota; Viridiplantae; Streptophyta; Magnoliopsida; Brassicales; Caricaceae.
AUUUUGUGAUCUUGCAUGCUUGAAUCAUUUCAAUAAGUAAAUAAGUAAAGAAAAUGAAUAUGAUGGCAUGAUAAAAAAUGACGCAAGAAACAAGAUAUUAUUUAACGAACAUGUGGAAUGAAUGCCAAAGUUUACAUGCAUGGUAUUUAAAUAAUUUUUUAGGCUUUUUAUCUCUAAGGAGUUUUAUUUCUCCUACAUCUGGUCUGAAAAGACAUGAGAGGACUGCUCCUUGUGGAUGACGACAUAGCCUCUGAUAAGAGUGAUGACGUGAUAUGAUUAUAGAGGUCACCUUUGGUGAUGUACGACUGUGACUAUAGCUUACAUGUAAGACUAUUGUGGUUGGCACGACCAUGGUCAUAGAACGUGUCAUGGUUUGGCGAGCUAUAAAUGUAUUGUGGUUUAACAACCCAUAAAUAUACUAAAAAU